This 1795-nucleotide long non-coding RNA is filed under the name Sparus aurata (gilthead seabream). Its description in RNAcentral is "lncRNA (ENSSAUG00010017066.1)". Lineage: Eukaryota; Metazoa; Chordata; Actinopteri; Spariformes; Sparidae. The record is from RNAcentral.
UCCAAGUUUAUUUUUUACUUUAGAAUAAACUAAUAAAAACACUCCUAGUUUUGCUACACAUCAUUUUAUCAAUUUUUCUCAAGUAAGAUAUCUGAUACCAAUUAUACUUUUUCUUCCUUUUUUUUACUUUGGUCCAACAUAUUUUUUUUUAUUUUUUUUAUUUAAAAUAAACUAAAUUGAAACACUCCAAUUUUUUUGCACAUCAUUUUAUCAAUUUUACUGAAGUUACAUAUUUGAUUCAGUGCAAGUAUGUUUUUUUUUAUUAUUAUAUCUUAUAGGUUUAUGUCACACUGAGUCUUCAGGUGUCAGUUAUGAAUGUUUAUUGCACAGGAAAGCUGUCUAUGGCACAGUUACAAUAAAUACAGUACAAAUCUGAAGCAAGAAACUUUGGUGGAAGAUAUACAACUUUGGUGUAUAAUAUUUUAUUUUUUAUAUAUUUCCUGUCAGUGUGGACAGAAAUCUGCUGCUGCAGUUGAUCCACUGCUGUGCUGCCUCUGACGCCCAGCAGGGGGCAGCCGUCAGCCUGCUCAGGACUCUGCAGCACAGGCUGGAUCUGUCCUGCUCCUCCUGUGUGGAGCUGCUGCAGGAGGGUCAGAGUGAAACUCUCAGUCUGACUGAUGAGGACUGCAGGGCCGUCUCCACCAUCCUGAGACACAGCAGCCAGCACACUCAGCUCCACCUGCAGGACUGUGAGGUGGAGGACAGCGGACUGGACCUGCUGUUUCCUGUCCUGGACAGAGUCCUCCUCAGAGCCAGUAAGACUGUCGUCCUCCAGCUGCUGUCCCUGGUUCCUGUGAACAGAGACAGAGACACAGUGAGACGGGCGGUGUCCCUGUGUGGAGCCCUGGGUGGAGAACUGGACCUCAGUCACACCACACUGGAUCAGAGCUCCUGUGGAGCUUUGGCUCAGCUGCUGGACGUCUCUGAAGGGCUGACAGAACUGGACCUGAGUCACUGUGAGCUCACUGACCAGCUGCUGCUCUCACUCCUCACACAUCUGCACAAAGUCCAAGUCCUGGAUCUGAGUCACAAUAAGAUCACUGAUGCUUCUGCUGACAUGUUACUUGAACUGGUCUCCAUCAACCCCUCCAUGGACACUGUGCGACUCUUUGGAAACAACAUUGAGGACAGAACACCCUUUAAGACAGAGAAGCAGUUUGAAAUGUGGUGAUUGGACGCCAACAUUAGCUGUCGUCGUGUUAUUUUACCUUGAUAUAAAGCCUGAUGUCCCUCUUGAUUAUCUCUGAUCACCAUCCUCAGUCUUUCAGGUGGUUAAAUUAUGUCAGUUUUUUCUUGCAACCUGGAGCGCACCAAUUCGACAUUUGUUCCCCCAGAAUAACCCGAAAAAGGUCUGUAUGUUGCUCAGGGACUAACAGUUUGUUUAACGAUAGUAAAAUGAAAUUACUACUAAAGUACGAGGCCUAGACUAGAUUAUCCCAGCAGAAAAUACUGCUAAACGUACACAUACUGCAGUUGUGGUGCUGCAGUAACAUGGUCACAUCAGGUUAGACGAGAUGUUUCACAUGCUGAAGACCACUUCAGAAUUUCUACCUUGUUAGACAAGACUGUUUGUAUGGAGGCCAAGAGCAGCCGGUAGUGUUUGCUAAUGAUUAUUAUUAUUUUAUUUUUUCUCUUAUGGUGUUUUUAUACACUGUUCUGUUGGGAUCGUAACUAUUUUUUGAUAGCGGCAAAACAAAUAGAGGAUGUAACUUUUUUAAAUAAGUAUUUUGAAUAUUUGUAAUUUUGGAUUUUGUAUUUUGUGAUAACUGUCUUUUUGUAUUCUUGGAAGCAUUAG